RNAcentral lists this microRNA precursor (52 nucleotides) under Pteropus alecto (black flying fox). RNAcentral describes it as "mir-1302 microRNA precursor family". It matches the Rfam family "mir-1302 microRNA precursor family". The record is from Rfam by way of RNAcentral. Lineage: Eukaryota; Metazoa; Chordata; Mammalia; Chiroptera; Pteropodidae.
UUUUUAGUAUAAAUGUGUCCCAUGUAAUAUUUGGAAUAUAUCUAUACUAAAA